UACGGAGGAGGCAAGCGUUAUCCGGAAUUAUUGGGCGUAAAGCGUCCGCAGGUGGCUAUUCAAGUCUGCGGUCAAAGACUGGGGCUUAACCCUGGAAAGGCCGUGGAAACUGAAGAGCUAGAGUGCAGUAGGGGUAGAGGGAAUUCCCGGUGUAGCGGUGAAAUGCGUAGAGCUCGGGAAGAACAUCGGUGGCGAAAGCGCUCUGCUGGGCCGACACUGACACUGAGAGACGAAAGCUAGGGGAGCGAACGGG
Molecule: ribosomal RNA, 253 nt
Filed under: uncultured bacterium
Lineage: Bacteria
Description: partial 16S ribosomal RNA
Rfam family: Bacterial small subunit ribosomal RNA
Source: RNAcentral